GAUGAACGCUGGCGGCGUGCCUAAUACAUGCAAGUCGAGCGAACAGACGAGGAGCUUGCUCCUCUGACGUUAGCGGCGGACGGGUGAGUAACACGUGGAUAACCUACCUAUAAGACUGGGAUAACUUCGGGAAACCGGAGCUAAUACCGGAUAAUAUAUUGAACCGCAUGGUUCAAUAGUUAAAGACGGUUUUGCUGUCACUAAGAGAUGGAUCCGCGCCGCAUUAGCUAGUUGGUAAGGUAACGGCUUACCAAGGCGACGAUGCGUAGCCGACCUGAGAGGGUGAUCGGCCACACUGGAACUGAGACACGGUCCAGACUCCUACGGGAGGCAGCAGUAGGGAAUCUUCCGCAAUGGGCGAAAGCCUGACGGAGCAACGCCGCGUGAGUGAUGAAGGUCUUCGGAUCGUAAAACUCUGUUAUUAGGGAAGAACAAAUGUGUAAGUAACUAUGCACGUCUUGACGGUACCUAAUCAGAAAGCCACGGCUAACUACGUG
RNAcentral lists this ribosomal RNA (497 nucleotides) under uncultured bacterium. Its description in RNAcentral is "partial 16S ribosomal RNA". It matches the Rfam family "Bacterial small subunit ribosomal RNA", at positions 28 to 507 of the family's 1533-position model. The record is from RNAcentral.